GAAUAUUGGACAAUGGGCGCAAGCCUGAUCCAGCCAUGCCGCGUGAGUGAUGAAGGCCCUAGGGUUGUAAAGCUCUUUCACCGGUGAAGAUAAUGACGGUAACCGGAGAAGAAGCCCCGGCUAACUUCGUACCAGCAGCCGCGGUAAUACGAAGGGGGCUAGCGUUGUUCGGAAUUACUGGGCGUAAAGCGCACGUAGGCGGAUCGGUCAGUUAGGGGUGAAAUCCCAGGGCUCAACCCUGGAACUGCCUUUAAUACUGCCGGUCUGGAGUUCGAGAGAGGUGAGUGGAAUUCCGAGUGUAGAGGUGAAAUUCGUAGAUAUUCGGAGGAACACCAGUGGCGAAGGCGGCUCACUGGCUCGAUACUGACGCUGAGGUGCGAAAGCGUGGGGAGCAAACAG
RNAcentral lists this ribosomal RNA (399 nucleotides) under uncultured bacterium. RNAcentral's name for it is "partial 16S ribosomal RNA". It matches the Rfam family "Bacterial small subunit ribosomal RNA", at positions 359 to 775 of the family's 1533-position model. The record is from RNAcentral.